AGAGUUUGAUCAUGGCUCAGGAUGAACGCUAGCGGCAGGCUUAAUACAUGCAAGUUGAGGGGCAGCAUGAUAUACGUAAGUAUAUUGAUGGCGACCGGCGGACGGGUGAGUAAAAGGUAGGAGACCUACCUCAUACAGGGGGAUAGCAUAGAGAAAUCUGUGGUAAUACCCCAUGAGGUUAUAUGAAUAGAGGCAUAUAAUCAAAGUAUACGAGAGUAUGCGGUAUGAGAUGGGCCUACUGACCAUUAGCUAGUUGGUGAGGUAAGGGCUCACCAAGGCGAAGAUGGUUAGGGGUUUUGAGAGAGAGAUCCCCCACAUUGGAACUGAGAUACGGUCCAGACUCCUACGGGAGGCAGCAGUAGGGAAUAUUGGGCAAUGGGCGAAAGCCUGACCCAGCCAUGCCGCGUGAAGGAAGACGGCCUUAUGGGUUGUAAACUUCUUUACUAUACGAAUAGAGGUUAGUACGAGUUACUAAUAGGAAGGUAGUAUAGCAAAAAGCACCGGCUAACUCCGUGCCAGCAGCCGCGGUAAUACGGAGGGUGCAAGCGUUAUUCGGAAUUACUGGGUUUAAAGGGUGCGUAGGCGGUUAUAUAAGUUGUCAGUGAAAGGCUACGGCUCAACUGUAGUAGUGCUGGCGAUACUGUAUAGCUAAGAACAUGGGAGGGGUACCUGGAAUGUGUGGUGUAGCGGUGAAAUGCAUAGAUAUCACACAGAACACCGGAGGCGAAGGCGGGGUACUAGACCAUAGUUGACGCUGAGGCACGAAAGCGUGGGGAGCAAACAGGAUUAGAUACCCUGGUAGUCCACGCCCUAAACGAUGAUCACUAGAUAUUGGCGACAUACAGUCAGUGUCCAAGCGAAAGUGAUAAGUGAUCCACCUGGGGAAUACGGCCGCAAGGUUAAAACUCAAAUGAAUUGACGG
Molecule: ribosomal RNA, 922 nt
Filed under: uncultured bacterium
Lineage: Bacteria
Description: bacterial SSU rRNA
Rfam family: Bacterial small subunit ribosomal RNA
Source: RNAcentral